GGAAGGCUUCCCGAGAAAGAAAGCAGCUCUGCCUGCCCAGGAGGAAGUACAAGUGUGCUUCCUCCGGACAAAUGGGAAAACAAGCACCCCAGAAGCUGAGAAGAGGGUUUAAGCAAAAAGGAUAGUUUGUUUUAAAAGCAAGUAAGUGUGAACAUGAACUAACAGAGCAUGAAAAUGGUAAAUUCCUUGUGGAUGACCUGUUGCAUCUAGCACCUGUGCAAACAGCUGGACCCGGGAGCCAUCUGCCCAGUUUCUCCAGCUGAAACUCUUGAUGCUGAAUCUCCAGGGAACUCACCCGUUGGCACGGUGCAUGGUAAACAGGGCUCGAGGCCUGGAGGAUAUCACACAUGAAAAGAAAACAGCAACAGACUUCCCAGACAGAGCUAUAGGCUCAGUAUUGUCCUUGGCUUGCUGGUGUGCUUGUUUCAAGCAUCGUUUGAGGCAGCUAGACUCUGGAAACAACCUGAAUGUCCAGCGGGAAGCAGAAGUGAAACUCAUUAAAAAGAGAGGUGGUUGAAUCAGUGGUGGCAUAUUCAUUCUCUGGAAUAUUAAGUAGCAACCAAAGAAAAAGGCUCAGAUCUCUGCCUACGGCCUCUGUGGAUCCACUCACAUUGUUUUGUUUU
This is a long non-coding RNA of Mustela lutreola (European mink), 623 nucleotides long. RefSeq lists it as uncharacterized. The transcript is spliced from 4 exons. NCBI's taxonomy places the organism in Eukaryota, Metazoa, Chordata, Mammalia, Carnivora, Mustelidae. The record is from RefSeq and is a predicted model, not a curated record.